Chelonoidis abingdonii (Abingdon island giant tortoise) is the source of this 1260-nucleotide non-coding RNA. NCBI's taxonomy places the organism in Eukaryota, Metazoa, Chordata, Testudines, Testudinidae. The record is from RefSeq and is a predicted model, not a curated record.
AGCAGUGCGCAUGCGCCCGUCACAAGGACCCGGAUGGGGAUGGCUAGGCCGCAGGCGUAGCACAGGAAACCAGCUAGAGCGGCCCCAUCACCGCUUCUGGACUCCCCCUGAGAACAUAGAGACCUGGCGGACGAAGAGCUGAGCGACUCCCUAACCCCUUCUGGGUUCUGCGCUAUAUAGCAGAACCAUAGAGAGCUGGUGGAAGAGGAGCUAGAACGGCAAAGAGGCUUUUCAGCUGAGCAGAGGCCUUGAGAAGGAGGGGCUGGAGGGGUUCCUCUCAGCGGGCAUUUCUGUGCCAUGGAGGGGGGAGGAAAAAAGGGUCAAGUGCCAACCAGAGUUCCAUGGCACCAGCUCAAGUUUUAAGAUUAGAAGACAAAGGGGAAUCAUAGAGGCCUGGCUAAAGAAAGUCUAGAGGGGACAAUCAAUCAGGUGGCCAAUGGACUCGUUUGCCACUGCGUGAAGUCUCCACAUGUAGGUCUGCAGGAGAAGUGAAGAAGAUGAACUCCAUCUUGUUUUUCACCAAGUGUCGAAGGCUAUAUCUACCCUACAAUGGCAAUCAAGGCUAUGAGAUCAAUCCACCAGCAGUCAAUUAGCAGGUCUAGUGAAGACCUGCUCGACUGACAGCAGAUCACUCUGCAGUCAACCCCUGUACUCUUACCCUGAACAAUUCUGUGGUAACUGGACCUAAGAAUGAAGAAAAGGCCUUUCUGCUUACUGAAGGAAAGGCACAUGUUCCAAGCAUGCAGCCCCCGUUAAAAAAGAAAAAAAAAUGCAGUCUCUCACUACUUCAUGUUCCAUGGCCAGAGAACAGGAGGUUCUUGAUCCACACUCACAGAUGAGUCUGCAUUUAUGUAUGGAUUUUACUCAUGCUUUUUGUUGUUGUUCUUGCUUAAAACCAAGUUUUUCUUUCUUAAGGUUUGGAUAUAAAGAAGGGAGGGAAUGCAUAGUUAUUACACCAAAUGCAAGUUUAGCCCACUAUCUUGCUACAAAGUGAUAUGCAGCCUGGUUGCCUUUUGAUACCCUCUCCCCACCAGAACCCUAGCUGUCUGCCAGAUAUCACCAUCCCUUGUCACAGUCACCCACUCCCAUCCUCCAUGCUCAGUUCUAGUUCUCGGUGGCUGGGACUCCCAUCCAAGCCAGUAUUGUAAUCCUGACGUGCCUCCAAGAAAAACACAGAUCUGUGUUUAAAAAAUAAAAAUCUUUAACUACUUUUGCUCUUUUUCAGAAGGAACUCAACUAUUAAACAAAUUUACAAUCCCU